Molecule: ribosomal RNA, 492 nt
Filed under: uncultured bacterium
Lineage: Bacteria
Description: partial 16S ribosomal RNA
Rfam family: Bacterial small subunit ribosomal RNA
Source: RNAcentral
GAUGAACGCUAGCUACAGGCUUAACACAUGCAAGUCGAGGGGAAACGGCAUUGAGUGCUUGCACUCUUUGGACGUCGACCGGCGCACGGGUGAGUAACGCGUAUCCAACCUUCCCAUUACUGUGGGAUAACCUGCCGAAAGGCAGACUAAUACCGCAUAGUCUUCGAUGACGGCAUCAGAUUUGAAGUAAAGAUUUAUCGGUAAUGGAUGGGGAUGCGUCUGAUUAGCUUGUUGGCGGGGUAACGGCCCACCAAGGCUACGAUCAGUAGGGGUUCUGAGAGGAAGGUCCCCCACAUUGGAACUGAGACACGGUCCAAACUCCUACGGGAGGCAGCAGUGAGGAAGAUUGGUCAAUGGACGGAAGUCUGAACCAGCCAAGUAGCGUGCAGGAGGACGGCCCUAGGGGUUGUAAACUGCUUUUGUAUGGGGAUAAAGUUAGGGACGUGUCCCUAUUUGCAGGUACCAUACGAAUAAGGACCGGCUAAUUCCGUG